UACUCUCACACUUCCGAUCGUUUGGAUCGGGAGCGGUGGACUUGGGUGCUGCUGCUUUACUGUGGCUCACCUCAAAUGCGUUAGUGCAACUCUCGGUUGGACAUAGUACGGCGUGAUAAGUGUCUUCGCCGGCACCUCCUCACAGAGGGUGGCCGAUCGGGAGCUCUGUGCUCCCAACCGUCCUCGGACAACAACUGACA
RNAcentral lists this unclassified non-coding RNA (200 nucleotides) under uncultured Sebacinaceae. Its description in RNAcentral is "sequence contains ITS2". Lineage: Eukaryota; Fungi; Basidiomycota; Agaricomycetes; Sebacinales; Sebacinaceae. The record is from RNAcentral.